Molecule: transfer RNA, 77 nt
Filed under: Aquabacter sp. L1I39
Lineage: Bacteria; Pseudomonadati; Pseudomonadota; Alphaproteobacteria; Hyphomicrobiales; Xanthobacteraceae
Also listed under: 2 other names
Description: tRNA-Arg
Rfam family: tRNA
About the family: Transfer RNA (tRNA) molecules are approximately 80 nucleotides in length. Their secondary structure includes four short double-helical elements and three loops (D, anti-codon, and T loops). Further hydrogen bonds mediate the characteristic L-shaped molecular structure. tRNAs have two regions of fundamental functional importance: the anti-codon, which is responsible for specific mRNA codon recognition, and the 3' end, to which the tRNAs corresponding amino acid is attached (by aminoacyl-tRNA synthetases). tRNAs cope with the degeneracy of the genetic code in two manners: having more than one tRNA (with a specific anti-codon) for a particular amino acid; and 'wobble' base-pairing, i.e. permitting non-standard base-pairing at the 3rd anti-codon position.
Source: RNAcentral
GGCCCCGUAGCUCAGCUGGAUAGAGCAAGUGCCUUCUAAGCACUAGGUCGCUGGUUCGAGCCCAGCCGGGGUCGCCA